GACCCCGCACAAGCGGCGGAGCAUGCGGCUUAAUUCGAUGAUACCCGUAGAACCUUACCUGGACUUGACAUAUAGGGUCAAGCUAUAGAGAUAUAGUGUGCAUUAGCGCCCUAUACAGGUGGUGCAUGGCUGUCGUCAGCUCGUGUCGUGAGAUGUUGGGUUAAGUCCUGCAACGAGCGCAACCCCCUAUUCUUAGUUGCCAGCGGUUCGGCCGGGGACUCUAAGAAGACUGCCAGCGCAAGCUGAGAGGAAAGGUGGGAUGACGUCAAAUCAUCACGGGCCCUUACGUCCUGGGCUACACACGUGCUACAAUGGUACAGACAGAGGGCAGCCACCUGGCGACAGGGAGCGAAUCCUUAAACUGUAUCUC
Molecule: ribosomal RNA, 370 nt
Filed under: uncultured bacterium
Lineage: Bacteria
Description: bacterial SSU rRNA
Rfam family: Bacterial small subunit ribosomal RNA
Source: RNAcentral